Non-coding RNA from Peromyscus maniculatus bairdii (prairie deer mouse), 429 nucleotides. The record is from RefSeq and is a predicted model, not a curated record. Lineage: Eukaryota; Metazoa; Chordata; Mammalia; Rodentia; Cricetidae.
GCUGACAUAGUGACAGAGAUGGCUCAGAGUGACAGAGAUGUGCUCAGGUCUCUCCUGUGACGUCCUGAGCUCCUCAGUUCACUCUCAGCAACAGUGUCUGAUGUUCCCUGUGACUCUAUGGGCUCAAUGUGAAGAACUGGGGAGCCCAGCCCCCCCUGCACACCAGGACCCUGUCCCUGCACUAUCUGUGUUCCCUUCCACAGCCAACCUUCCUGGUCCAGAUGACAGGAGGGAACAUCUCCAUCCUGUCACCUCCAUGCUGCCCUGAGCUGCAGCCCCUGACUCCCAACUGAAAAUAAGAAUCUGAGGGCUGGAGAGAUGGCUCAGUGGUUAAGAGCACUGGCUAUUCUUCCAGAGGUCCUGAGUUCAAUUCCUAGCAACCACAUGGUGGCUUACAACUGUCCGUAAUGAGAUCUGGUGCCUUCUUCU